RNAcentral lists this long non-coding RNA (1710 nucleotides) under Mus musculus (house mouse). RNAcentral describes it as "predicted gene 29055". Lineage: Eukaryota; Metazoa; Chordata; Mammalia; Rodentia; Muridae. The record is from RNAcentral.
AUUUAGCAGUGAUAACUUGAAUUGCUCUUUGCAGUGAUCAGAAAAAGGCAUUCAUUAUGCCUAACAAAUUCAUCCCUUUUUAAUCUUUAUUUGAAACAGGGUCUCAUGUAGCUAAUGCUGGCCUUGAACUCACUAUGUAGCUGAGGCUAGUCUUGAACUCCUGAUCUUUAGAUUUCCACCUCCCAAGUGCUUGGAUCACUGGCAUGUACCACUAUGCAUGUCUCUCCUAAGUUCUUUGGAAGCCAAAAUGAUGUCCUGUCAUUUAGUAGUCAUCAACUAAAGCUUGGUGCUUGAGGCAAGGGACAAAAAUGCAAGGCCACCAGCAGUUUCUGGGACAGGCGAGACCCAGAGAGCUUCUGAGGCGGCGCCAUCUUCGGCUCCAGACAACCGGCCACCUUCCUGGCCAAAGCAACACAGCUUCUGGGAAAGAUCCUGUUUUGGGCCUUCAUCUUCAGCCAGGAGGAGGUCCAAACACCAGAUACCUGUGCACCUUCCCUGAAAGAGGAGAGCUUGCCUGCAGAGACUGCUCUGACCACUGAAACUCAGAGGAGAGAGCUAGUCUCCCACGUCUGCUGAUAGAGGGUAACAAAAUCACCAGAGGAACAAUCUCUAAACAAAGACAACUAUAACAACUAACUCCAGAGAUUGCCAAAUGGCGAAAGGUAAACGUAAGAAUCCUACUAACAGAAACCAGGACCACUCACCAUCAUCAGAACCCAGAACACCCACUUCGCCCAGUCCAGGGCACCCUAACACACCUGAAAAGGUAGACCUGGAUUAAAAAGCAUAUCUCAUGAUGAUGGUAGAGGACAUAAAGAAGGAAUUUAAUAACUCACUUAAAGAAAUACAGGAGAACACUGCUAAAGAGUUACAACUCCUUAAAGAAAAACAGGAAAACACAACCAAACAGGUAGAAGUCCUUAUAGAAAAACAGGAAAACACAUCCAAACAGGUGAUGGAAAUGAACAAAACCAUACUAGACCUAAAAAGGGAAGUAGACACAAUAAAGAAAACCCAAAGUGAGGAAACGCUGGAGAUAGAAACCUUAGGAAAGAAAUCUGGAACCAUAGAUGCCAGCAUCAGCAACAGAAUACAAGAGAUGGAAGAGAGAAUCUCAGGUGCAGAAGAUUCCAUAGAGAACAUCGGCACAACAAUCAAAGAAAAUGGAAAAUGCAAGAAGAUCCUAACUCAAAACAUCCAGGAAAUUCAGGACACAAUGAGAAGACCAAACCUACGGAUAAUAGGAGUGGAUGAGAAUCAAGAUUUUCAACUCAAAGGACCAGCAAACAUCUUCAACAAAAUUAUUGAAGAAAACUUCCCAAAUCUAAAGAAAGAGAUGCCCAUGAACAUACAAGAAGCCUACAGAACUCCAAAUAGGACCAGAAAAGAAAUUCCUCCCGACACAUAAUAAUCAGAACAUCAAAUGCACUAAAUAAAGAUAGAAUACUAAAAGCAGUAAGGGAAAAAGGUCAAGUAACAUAUAAAGGCAAGCCUAUCAGAAUUACACCAGAUUUUUCACCAGAGACUAUGAAAGCCAGAAGAGCCUGGACAGAUGUUAUACAGACACUAAGAGAACACAAAUUCCAGCCCAGGCUACUAUACCCAGCCAAACUCUCAAUUACCAUAGAUGGAGAAACCAAAGUAUUCCACGACAAAACUAAAAUCACCCAUUAUCUCUCCACGAAUCCAGCCCUUCAAAGGAUAAUAACA